GUGCAGCAGGCGAGAAACCUCCGCAAUACACGAAAGUGUGGCGGGGCCAUCCCGAGUGCCGUCCGCUGAGGACGGCUUUUCCCCAGUGUACACAGCUGGGGGAAUAAGGAGAGGGCAAGCCUGGUGUCAGCCGCCGCGGUAAUACCAGCUCUCCGAGUGGUGGGGACGCUUAUUGGGCCUAAAGCAUCCGUAGCCGGCUGGGCAAGUCCUCCGUUAAAUCCAACGAUUCAAUCGUUGGGCUGCGGGGGAUACUGUCCAGCUUGGGGGCGGGAGAGGCCGACGGUAUUCCCGGGGUAGGGGUGAAAUCCUAUAAUCCCGGGAGGACCACCAGUGGCGAAGGCUGUCGGCUAGAACGCGCCCGACGGUGAGGGAUGAAAGCUGGGGGAGCGAACCGGAUUAGAUACCCCUGUAGUCCCUGAA
Molecule: ribosomal RNA, 420 nt
Filed under: uncultured microorganism
Description: bacterial SSU rRNA
Rfam family: Archaeal small subunit ribosomal RNA
Source: RNAcentral